AGGUAGCGCCUCGAGCGAAUACCAUUGGGGGUAGAGCACUGUUAAGGCUAGGGGGUCAUCCCGACUUACCAACCCUUUGCAAACUCCGAAUACCAAUGAGUACUACUCGGGAGACACACGACGGGUGCUAACGUCCGCCGUGAAAAGGGAAACAACCCAGACCACCAGCUAAGGUCCCAAAGUCAUGGUUAAGUGGAAAACGAUGUGGAAAGGCAUAGACAGCUAGGAGGUUGGCUUAGAAGCAGCCACCCUUUAAAGAAAGCGUAAUAG
Molecule: ribosomal RNA, 270 nt
Filed under: Mesorhizobium sp.
Lineage: Bacteria; Pseudomonadati; Pseudomonadota; Alphaproteobacteria; Hyphomicrobiales; Phyllobacteriaceae
Description: partial 23S ribosomal RNA
Rfam family: Bacterial large subunit ribosomal RNA
Source: RNAcentral